UACGGAGGGUGCAAGCGUUAUCCGGAAUCACUGGGUUUAAAGGGUGCGUAGGCGGUUUUAUAAGUCAGGGGUGAAAGCAUGCAGCUUAACUGUAUAAUUGCCUUUGAUACUGUAAGACUUGAAUAAGGUUGAGGUUGGCGGAAUGUGACAUGUAGCGGUGAAAUGCUUAGAUAUGUCAUAGAACACCGAUUGCGAAGGCAGCUGACUGGGCCUUUAUUGACGCUGAGGCACGAAAGCGUGGGGAGCGAACAGG
This 253-nucleotide ribosomal RNA is filed under the name uncultured bacterium. RNAcentral's name for it is "partial 16S ribosomal RNA". It matches the Rfam family "Bacterial small subunit ribosomal RNA", at positions 524 to 776 of the family's 1533-position model. The record is from RNAcentral.